This is a non-coding RNA of Podarcis lilfordi (Lilford's wall lizard), 2210 nucleotides long. The record is from the annotation of a GenBank genome assembly. NCBI's taxonomy places the organism in Eukaryota, Metazoa, Chordata, Lepidosauria, Squamata, Lacertidae.
AGAGCCGAUGGAAAUCGGAACAGCGCGCGCGCGCGCAGUUUCAAAGCCCAGUGAGGGGGGAAGAAGGAUGGAAAAGGCGCCCGGAAAUGCUAUCUCUGCCAACAGCCAGGGCACUUUGCCAGAGUCUGCCCCCAGAGGAAGGAAUGGCAAGGGAUGGUGGGAGCUGUGGAGGGAAGAGAGGAAAAAUACCGGAGCAACUAAAAGCCAACGCCUGGCUGCCAUUGUCGGGGCACAGCAGCCAGGCCAAAGAGCAGUGAAAGUGCCCACUCCAGAACCUCCUAAACCCGCCCUAGUGAUAGAAGUGACACUAGAGCUGCCAAACGGACACCCUCUAAAGAUAAAGGCGCUGUUGGACUCAGGCAGCUCCUGCAAUUUCAUGAGCAAAGAGUUUGCAGCUGAACACCAGAUACAGACGCUCCCUUUAAGCAACCCCCUGCAGGUAACCACGAUCGAUGGCAGGGAGCUGUUGGGAGGAGAAGUCAGCUUGCAGACCGUCCCAAUGAUAAUGAAGGUGGCAAGGCACACCGAACUAAUAGCAUUUAAUGUGGCCACCUUGGGAGGAGCUCCCAUUAUAUUGGGGAUGAGCUGGCUAGCGUUACAUGAUCCGCUGGUGGGCUGGCAUCAAAGAGUGGUUUCUUUUGGGUCAGCACAUUGCUUAGAACAUUGCAAAGAGGGAAGGGUUUUGGCAGGGGCCCAAGCCACUCUAGCAGGGACUGAAGUGACGGAGAACGUGAAGGUACCACGACAAUACGCAGAUCUCCGCGACGUCUUCAGCGAAAGGGAAGCUGACCAACUACCACCGCAUAGAGCCUUUGACUGUCAAAUCAAUUUGCUCCCUGGGGCACAGCUCCCUGUGGGCAAGCUGUACGCCAUGUCAGACAGAGAGAUGCAGGAGCUAAGAGAGUUCAUUGACAAGAACCUGAAGAGAGGGUUCAUCAGAGAGUCCAGGGCGGUGGUGGGGGCAGCCCAGUGUUUUUGUGGACAAAAAAACACGAACAAGCCGAGACUGGUGUGUGACUUCAGGGCCUUAAAUGCAGUGUCAGAACCAGUGGCCUUCCCGAUGCCCAGGAUUGACGACAUUUUGACAAGGGUGCGGAAGGGAAAGAUUUUUACCAAGCUGGAUCUAAGGGGGGCGUACAACCUGAUACGAAUAAGGAAGGGGGAUGAAUGGAAAACCACCAUGUUCACCCCUUUAGGGGCAUUUGAAUACUUAGUUAUGCCCUUCGGUCUACAAGCAGGCUCCGCAACAUUUCAAUCGUUUAUGAACCACGUCCUGGGGCCGUUGCUUUACAAGAAUUGUGUGGCCUUCUUAGACGACGUGUUGGUGUAUUCUGAGAAUGAGGAGCAGCAUGUGAGAGACGUCAGAGAAGUGUUGAGCAGGCUGCAAGCCAACCAGCUGUGGGUGAAACUGGAGAAGUGUCAGUUUCAUACCAAGGAGGUGGAAUUCCUGGGGUAUCGCCUGUCUGACAAGGGGUUGGCCAUGGAUCCCGACAAGGUCCAGGCGGUACUGGAAUGGAAAACACCCAAAACAAGGAAGGAUGUGCAGAGGUUUUUAGGGUUUGGGAACUUCUAUCGUAAGUUCAUCCCAAACUUUGCCCACCUGACGGCGCCCAUUACGGACUGUCUCAGCAGUAAGAAGAAGUUCGUUUGGACGGAGGAGGCGGAGCAAGCAUUUGAGGAACUAAAAGGGCCUUCGCCUCGGAACAACAGCUCCUGCAUGUGGAUUUACAAAAACCGAUGAGAGUGGAAACUGACGCAUCAGACAGAGCGGUUGGGGCGGUGCUUCUCCAGCCAGGGAAGGAGGAGUCAGAGUGGAGACCGUGUGCUUUUUUCGCGAAAGCUGAACAAAUCCGAGAGGAACUACACGGUGUAUGACCGAGAACUACUAGCCAUUCAUGAGGCGUUCCGGAGAUGGAGGCACCUGCUAAUUGGCGCACAACAUAAGGUGCAAGUGUGCACUGACCACAAGAACCUAGAGUAUUGGAGGACGGCACGAGUGCUCAACCAACGGCAAGUGAGAUGGGCCCAGGAAUUCUCCAAAUUUAACUUUGAGAUUUGUUACGUGCCAGGCCCAGAGAACAUUAGGGCGGACGCUCUCUCACGCAAACCUGAAUAUUGGGAGUGGGAGGGAGCACCCGAAGAGAGACAUGUCAUUCCAGAGGACCGCUGGGUGUGUGGGGCGGCAUUGGUGGGACAAAGAGAACUGGUAG